RNAcentral lists this long non-coding RNA (255 nucleotides) under Elaeis guineensis (African oil palm). RNAcentral describes it as "long non-coding RNA (EGUI_LNC024313)". The record is from RNAcentral. Lineage: Eukaryota; Viridiplantae; Streptophyta; Magnoliopsida; Arecales; Arecaceae.
ACUUUUUAUUUUCUGCGAUUAUUACAGGUUUAUUUGCCUACUGCUCAUCUUUUGUUUGUGUAAGAGUGACAGUCUGAUGAGGAUUCAUCCUUUGGCUCGUCCAGGCUCAUUAUCCACAUCCAGACUGCUCAUCCAAGAUAUUUGUACUUUAGACCUCCACACCAUUCGACAGCAUGCUCGUAUCUCAAUCGAUAUCCACGAUCAUAGCCGUGGCACUGCAGAGUCCACUCCUUCACCUUUCCUACAUCCCUCAUC